Molecule: ribosomal RNA, 503 nt
Filed under: uncultured bacterium
Lineage: Bacteria
Description: bacterial SSU rRNA
Rfam family: Bacterial small subunit ribosomal RNA
Source: RNAcentral
AUUGAACGCUGGCGGCGUGCUUUACACAUGCAAGUCGAACGGCAGCAUGUCCUUCGGGAUGAUGGCGAGUGGCGGACGGGUGAGUAAGACAUCGAAACGUACCUUUUAGAGAGGGAUAACUCAUCGAAAGAUGAGCUAAUACCGCAUAAACUCUGAGGAGCAAAGGUGGGGACUGAAAGGCCUACCGCUAAAAGAGCGGUCGAUGGCCGAUUAGCUAGUUGGUGAGGUAAAAGCUUACCAAGGCGAAGAUCGGUAGCUGUUCUGAGAGGAAGAUCAGCCACACUGGGACUGAGAGACGGCCCAGACUCCUACGGGAGGCAGCAGUGGGGAAUAUUGGACAAUGGGGGCAACCCUGAUCCAGCAACGCCGCGUGAAUGAAGAAGGCCUUAGGGUUGUAAAGUUCUUUAGUUGGGGAGCAAAAGUUGUGGGGUAAUAUAUCACAAACUUGAGAGUACCUGAAGAAUAAGCACCGGCUAACUACGUGCCAGCAGCCGCAGUAAUAC